RNAcentral lists this transfer RNA (90 nucleotides) under Candidatus Gallilactobacillus intestinavium. RNAcentral's name for it is "tRNA-Ser". It matches the Rfam family "tRNA". Rfam says of the family: Transfer RNA (tRNA) molecules are approximately 80 nucleotides in length. Lineage: Bacteria; Bacillati; Bacillota; Bacilli; Lactobacillales; Lactobacillaceae. The record is from RNAcentral.
GGAGGGUUGUCCGAGUCUGGUUUAUGGAGCUGGUCUAGAAAACCAGUAAUGGUUACUUAUCAUUCAAGGGUUCAAAUCCCUUACCCUCCU